Molecule: long non-coding RNA, 1013 nt
Organism: Erinaceus europaeus (western European hedgehog)
Lineage: Eukaryota; Metazoa; Chordata; Mammalia; Eulipotyphla; Erinaceidae
Exons: 2
Source: RefSeq, a predicted model, not a curated record
CUGUGUGUGAGACUGAUGGCCCUGGACAUUUCCAGCACUGCCCUUCCCUUGGGAUUUUCCUAGACGAAGGGCCAAGAGCAAGCCUGGGGGCGGAAUCUGAAAAGGACACACGCAGGACACUCACUGGGCAGUAUCAGGUUUUCUAAGGACCCAUGGACACCUUGUAGGAGAGUCUCUGCCUAUUGGACCUGUCCCCCAUUUGACUGUGAACACCCCCUCCAUACAGGCCCAGAAGCUUCCAGCCUCCCCAUGGACAUUCAUAGCAAUUGGUAAACCCCACAUCUUUGCAAGAAGUGGGAUCCCAAAGUCACCUGGAGAAGCUCCCUAAGAGAAGCUCCCAUCUGAGAAAGGCCUUGAGACAAGAUGAAAAACGGCCGAAGGAACCUGUAGCCUUGGUGCUGCCAGAGCCACUGAACCCCCACAGAAUGUUCUCCUCACCACUCCUCUCUGGAUACCAUGUUUGCUUUUAGGGAGGCUGGCUUAGAAACCAUCAGUCUCCUGAGCAUCUAACAUGUCACUCCAGUGGAAGGAUAGAUGGAUAGAUGGAUGGGAGGAUAAGUAGAUGGGUGGAUGGGAAGAUAGAUGGAUAAAUGGAAAAUGAAUGGGACUCGACCAAAAAGGAGGAAUGAUUCUAGUGUUCUUUUUCCUGGAAGGACAUUGCCCUGACAUCAUUUGGAGGCCUGAGGGCCUGAACUGACCACUGGAGCUGGUGCGGGUGCUUAGCACACCCCUUGGGUCACAGGAUAUGGGGACUUCAGCACUGCCUCUCCCUUGACUCCUGGCAAAGUGUCAACUCACUAAAUGCAGAGCCUUCUUCCUGGGUCCUAGGGCAACCUGCUGUCCCGGACUGUGGCAGCUAGAGGACAAACAAUGUCUCUGAGCCCUUCCUGGGUUUUCUGCCUCACUGGCAGCCCAGCUUGGGGGCCAGGUGGGUGAGUCACAGGGGUGUUUGCUUACAUGUGUUCAUGUGUCCACCAGAUGCCAUUCAAUAAUAGCACAGCUAUAUCAAUGUG